This 886-nucleotide non-coding RNA is filed under the name Conus miles. Its description in RNAcentral is "12S ribosomal RNA". The stretch from base 466 to 879 matches the Rfam family "Microsporidia small subunit ribosomal RNA", at positions 752 to 1303 of the family's 1311-position model. The record is from RNAcentral. Lineage: Eukaryota; Metazoa; Mollusca; Gastropoda; Neogastropoda; Conidae.
AGUAAACUUGGCUCUGAUUUCAGGUAUGGCGUGCGCUAAAAGAUACACAUGGUAUUUAUUGAGAGUAGUGAGGUGGAAAGCUAGGAAUUAAUGACGGAACGAAAAGUUAAAGCGGUUAUAGUUUUCUAGGGCGUUAUUGAAAACAUGAUGUUCUGAAAAGCCCACUAACACCAGUGUUGGAGAUUAAAAGAAAGGUGAAAGCUUGUAUUAGUUUAGCGAGUAAAAUUUGGUUAAUUUGGUGCCAGCAUCCGCGGUUAAACCAAGAGAUUUAGUCAUUCUUUACGGUAAAAAGACAGUUAGGCAGCAGACUAGAGCCAUUAGACCCUUAGUAUAGGAGUAAAAUCUAGAUACUAGUAGUUAUACCGAAGGUGGUUUAUUUGAGAUGCUGAGGCUGUGAAAGCUUUAAGGGAAACUGGGAUUGGAUACCCCACUAUUUUUAGCUAUAAAUUUACUUUUAAUAUACCAGAGUACUACGAAUAAAAAGUUUAAAACUCAAAGGGCUUGGCGGUGUUUUAGACCUCUCAGGGGAACCUGUCUCAUAAUCGACAGUCCACGUUAAACCUAACCCUUUAUAGUAAUUCAGCUUGUAUACCGUCGUCGUCAGGUAACUUCUUAAAAUAUAGUAGUUAGCUAGAAAAUUUUAUUGAUUAAAACGUCAGAUCAAGGUGCAGCCAAUGAAAGGGGGAGGAUGGGUUACAAUUAUAGAUUUAUAAUUACGGAAAGGGCUUAGAAAUAAAGCAACUUAAAGGAGGACUUGAAAGUAAUUUUAAUUACAUAAAUAGGAUGAAUGCGGCUCUGAAACGUGCACACAUCGCCCGUCGCUCUCGUUGAAAAAUGAGAUAAGUCGUAACAUAGUAGGGGUAAUGGAAAUUGCUCCUAGGCUGAA